GAACGGUGCAAGCGUUACUCGGAAUUACUGGGCGUAAAGCGUGCGUAGGUGGUUCGUUAAGUCUGUCGUGAAAGCCCCGGGCUCAACCUGGGAAUGGCGAUGGAUACUGGCGGGCUAGAGUGCGGUAGAGGAGAGUGGAAUUCCCGGUGUAGCAGUGAAAUGCGUAGAGAUCGGGAGGAACAUCAGUUGCGAAGGCGGCUCUCUGGACCAGCACUGACACUGAGGCACGAAAGCGUGGGGAGCAAACAGGAUUAGAUACCCUGGUAGUCCACGCCCUAAACGAUGCGAACUGGACGUUGGGAGCAACUAGGCUCUCAGUGUCGAAGCUAACGCGUUAAGUUCGCCGCCUGGGGAGUACGGUCGCAAGACUG
RNAcentral lists this ribosomal RNA (371 nucleotides) under uncultured bacterium. Its description in RNAcentral is "bacterial SSU rRNA". It matches the Rfam family "Bacterial small subunit ribosomal RNA", at positions 527 to 896 of the family's 1533-position model. The record is from RNAcentral.